CCUGCCGCUUACUCGGGGAUAGCCUUUCGAAAGAAAGAUUAAUACCCGAUGGUAUAAAGAGUUCGCANNUUCUCUUUAUUAAAGAAUUUCGGUAAGCGAUGGGGAUGCGUUCCAUUAGAUUGUUGGCGGGGUAACGGCCCACCAAGUCUACGAUGGAUAGGGGUUCUGAGAGGAAGGUCCCCCACAUUGGAACUGAGACACGGUCCAAACUCCUACGGGAGGCAGCAGUGAGGAAUAUUGGUCAAUGGACGAGAGUCUGAACCAGCCAAGUAGCGUGAAGGAUGACUGCCCUAUGGGUUGUAAACUUCUUUUAUAAGGGAAUAAGGUGAGGGACGUGUCCCUUUUUGUAUGUACCUUAUGAAUAAGGAUCGGCUAACUCCGUGCCAGCAGCCGCGGUAAUACGGAGGAUCCAAGCGUUAUCCGGAUUUAUUGGGUUUAAAGGGAGCGUAGGUUGACAUAUAAGUCAGCUGUGAAAGUUUACGGCUCAACCGUGAAAUUGCAGUUGAUACUGUAUGUCUUGAGUGUACAAGAGGUGGGCGGAAUUCGUGGUGUAGCGGUGAAAUGCUUAGAUAUCACGAAGAACUCCGAUUG
RNAcentral lists this ribosomal RNA (591 nucleotides) under uncultured Bacteroidota bacterium. Its description in RNAcentral is "bacterial SSU rRNA". It matches the Rfam family "Bacterial small subunit ribosomal RNA", at positions 125 to 715 of the family's 1533-position model. Lineage: Bacteria; Pseudomonadati; Bacteroidota. The record is from RNAcentral.